GACGAACGCUGGCGGCGUGCCUAAUACAUGCAAGUUGAGCGCUGAAGGUUGGUACUUGUACCAACUGGAUGAGCAGCGAACGGGUGAGUAACGCGUGGGGAAUCUGCCUUUGAGCGGGGGACAACAUUUGGAAACGAAUGCUAAUACCGCAUAAAAACUUUAAACACAAGUUUUUAGUUUGAAAGAUGCAAUUCCAUCACUCAAAAAUGAUCCCGCGUUGUAUUAGCUAGUUGGUGAGGUAAAGGCUCACCAAGGCGAUGAUACAUAGCCGACCUGAGAGGGUGAUCGGCCACAUUGGGACUGAGACACGGCCCAAACUCCUACGGGAGGCAGCAGUAGGGAAUCUUCGGCAAUGGACGAAAGUCUGACCGAGCAACGCCGCGUGAGUGAAGAAGGUUUUCGGAUCGUAAAACUCUGUUGGUAGAGAAGAACGUUGGUGAGAGUGGAAAGCUCAUCAAGUGACGGUAACUACCCAGAAAGGGACGGCUAACUACGUG
Molecule: ribosomal RNA, 497 nt
Filed under: uncultured bacterium
Lineage: Bacteria
Description: partial 16S ribosomal RNA
Rfam family: Bacterial small subunit ribosomal RNA
Source: RNAcentral